CCUACGGGUGACUGCAGUGAGGAAUAUUGGUCAAUGGACGAGAGUCUGAACCAGCCAAGUAGCGUGAAGGAUGACUGCCCUAUGGGUUGUAAACUUCUUUUAUAUGGGAAUAAAAUGUUCCACGUGUGGGAUUUUGUAUGUACCUUAUGAAUAAGGAUCGGCUAACUCCGUGCCAGCAGCCGCGGUAAUACGGAGGAUCCGAGCGUUAUCCGGAUUUAUUGGGUUUAAAGGGUGCGUAGGCGGCCUUUUAAGUCAGCGGUGAAAGUCUGUGGCUCAACCAUAGAAUUGCCGUUGAAACUGGGAGGCUGGAGUACAGUUGAGGUAGGCGGAAUGCGUGGUGUAGCGGUGAAAUGCUUAGAUAUCACGAAGAACCCCGAUUGCGAAGGCAGCUUACUAAACUGUGACUGACAUUGAUGCUCGAAAGUGUGGGUAUCAAACAGGAUUAGAUACCCUGGUAGUC
This 460-nucleotide ribosomal RNA is filed under the name uncultured bacterium. RNAcentral describes it as "partial 16S ribosomal RNA". It matches the Rfam family "Bacterial small subunit ribosomal RNA", at positions 338 to 795 of the family's 1533-position model. The record is from RNAcentral.